GAAAAGAGAGCAUGAUCCUAACAGAGAUAAGGCUUAGCCGGAAAGCACUGAUAACAGCAAGACAACAUACAAGCAUCACGCAACAGCUCGAAGGAAAAUAACCACUCAUUGGAUUCCCCCACCUCUAGGCUCCCCUAAACUGAAUACGGACGGUGCUGUCAAAGGGAAGCCAGGGCCAGCUGGUAUUGGGGGAGUUCUAAGGGACGACCAAGGCUUCAUAAAAGGUACACUUUCCAACCAUAUUGACAUUGAGGACUCAAAGUUUGCUGAAUUCCAAACCAUCCGGGAAGGAAUCAGAUUUUUCCUUCUUUCACUAGAAGUGGAAAGCAAUUCUUCCAAUCCCAUCAGUUGGGCCAAAGACCAUAGCAAGGUCACAUGGCACAUGAAAACCAUCUCCAAUGCCAUUGAAGCUUACUCAUGAAGCUGCACUGGAAUCUCAUUCAAACACAUCCUGCGUGAGGCUAGCAUUGUGGCUGAUGGAUUGGCUAAAGUGGGAGCCACAAGAACAAAUAAUUUUAGUGCCUACUUCACCGACUCAAGCAAAGGUGAAGCCAGCUAGUUUCUGUCUUUCUCAAUUUAUGACUUGCCUGGCACAUCAGGACUCCCCUGAUUGCUGCUCGUCCCAAUUAUCCGUUAUCCAUAUAUCCAUCAUCUUUGCUUUUUGGUCAGAGGUUAAGGAAUGGAGUCUUAAGUGUUGCUCAAUGGUGACGGAGCACGUAACCAUAUGUCCCGCCAAAAGAAUACUGAGGAGCCAUCUCCAAUAAUCCAUCUUAAUCCAUCUAGAGGCAUCAAAACCCACCAGUCCCUGUACUCCUUUUAUAGAAGGAAGAUUAACAAUGUUUUUCCAUACUGCUGAAAUCCUCCAUGUGUUGUGUACAGUUGGCAACCAACAUUAUUUACCUUCACCAUAUUUCGCUGUAAUGAGGCGACGCCAAAGAGAGUUAUACUCCACUCCAGAUCAGCACUGCCAUUUUUUGAAGUGCACUAGGUUCUUUUGGCGAAGGUUUGAUAUACCAAGUCCCCAAAUUGCCUAGGCUUGCAAAUUAUGCUUCCUUUCUUCCUCUCACUAUGAUAAGAUGAAUACAUGCUUCAUCAAUGUCA
This is a long non-coding RNA of Theobroma cacao (cacao), 1101 nucleotides long. RefSeq lists it as uncharacterized. Lineage: Eukaryota; Viridiplantae; Streptophyta; Magnoliopsida; Malvales; Malvaceae. The record is from RefSeq and is a predicted model, not a curated record.